CAAAUACCCAGUGGGAAACCUCUAAAGGAUAUUUAAGCCCCAGAAAAUUCUGUAACUAGCUCUCUUGAGCCACUUGCACAAUCCCACUCCUAGUCUGUGGAGUGUACUUUUGUUUCAAUAAUUCUAUGCUUUUAUUACUUCAUUCCUUCAUUUUUUUUGUGCAUUUUGUUCAAUUCUUUGUUCAAAACACCAAGAACCUGGACAACUCGUAGUCAAGAACCUCCACUGGUAACAUUACUAUAUGCUUGGCCCUGUUCUAAGGACUGGAGUGUGUAUGGUUAUUCACAGAAGCAGAAACAGGCUCAGAGACGUGAAAAAAUUUUCUCGCAUUUUCAGAGCUGGAAAGAAGUGGAACCUGGAUUUAAACACAGGCAACUCUAGAGCCUCAAGUUCCACUAUGAUCCUUAUUAGAACAUUAAAACGUCCAACACAAAGAAAUGAUACAUGUUUGAGGCAUAACAAAUAAGCAUGUAACCUUGAAGCAAGGCCAUUGAAGGAAGCCAACCUGUGAAAACGUAGUUCAGAAAAGAUGGUCACAAACAAUAUGGUCACAUUGUUUGAACUCCAGAUUCAGUCUCAUCUGAAAUUACAAUUACUCUGGACUAUUCCCUCAGAUUUCAGCUGCUAUUUGGAGUAGCUGGAGAAAACAUAACCAGUUUCCAACUGCAAGAUGAAGACAGUGUGUUCUUUGUCUUCUCCAGUAGCUUCUUUAUACCACUACAAUUUCUCCCUUGUUGGGGAGAAUUCUUUACCUGCAAAUACAACUGAUGGUUUCCAGGUGUCAGCAGAAGACCUUCAAAAACACACUGAUGGACAGUUUGGUUCUAUCAUGAAGGAAACAUCUGUCACCCACUUCCAGAAAAUGAGGGUUGCCCUUCCCUCAACUGUGGCAGGGAGCUGAGGACACAACAUCACAGACUAACUAUUCUCACAAAGAAUGUUG
This 943-nucleotide long non-coding RNA is filed under the name Homo sapiens (human). RNAcentral describes it as "HSALNT0364335". The record is from RNAcentral. Lineage: Eukaryota; Metazoa; Chordata; Mammalia; Primates; Hominidae.